This 433-nucleotide ribosomal RNA is filed under the name uncultured bacterium. RNAcentral's name for it is "partial 16S ribosomal RNA". It matches the Rfam family "Bacterial small subunit ribosomal RNA", at positions 29 to 507 of the family's 1533-position model. The record is from RNAcentral.
AACGAACGCUGGCGGCAUGCCUAACACAUGCAAGUCGAACGAGACCUUCGGGUCUAGUGGCGCACGGGUGCGUAACGCGUGGGAACCUGCCCUUAGGUUCGGAAUAACUCCCCGAAAGGGGUGCCAAUACCGGAUAAUGUCUUCGGACCAAAGAUUUAUCGCCUUUGGAUGGGCCCGCGUUGGAUUAGCUAGUUGGUAGGGUAAAAGCCUACCAAGGCGACGAUCCAUAGCUGGUCUGAGAGGAUGAUCAGCCACACUGGGACUGAGACACGGCCCAGACUCCUACGGGAGGCAGCAGUGGGGAAUAUUGGACAAUGGGCGAAAGCCUGAUCCAGCAAUGCCGCGUGAGUGAUGAAGGCCUUAGGGUUGUAAAGCUCUUUUACCCGGGAUGAUAAUGACAGUACCGGCAGAAUAAGCUCCGGCUAACUCCGUG